GGCAACGUGGCUUAGUGGUUAGAACGAUUGCCUCACACCUCCGGGGUUGGGGGAUCAAAUCCCUCCUCUGUCC
Molecule: non-coding RNA, 73 nt
Organism: Ameiurus melas (black bullhead)
Lineage: Eukaryota; Metazoa; Chordata; Actinopteri; Siluriformes; Ictaluridae
Source: the annotation of a GenBank genome assembly